Long non-coding RNA from Vicia villosa (hairy vetch), 3148 nucleotides. RefSeq lists it as uncharacterized. The transcript is spliced from 5 exons. NCBI's taxonomy places the organism in Eukaryota, Viridiplantae, Streptophyta, Magnoliopsida, Fabales, Fabaceae. The record is from RefSeq and is a predicted model, not a curated record.
UUUCCUCUUUCCAAAACUUCUUUUAGUCUCUACACGACAAUUCAAACAACUCUUUCUCUUCUCUUGCUCAAGUUGUUCUUUGAACCCUAAUUUUUGCUGACAAAAGCCUGCUUUCUUGAUUCAAACAUGUCACAUUUCACAUGCUACCGUUUCUCUUCUUUUCCUUCAGACACAAACCUACCAUCUGUCUCACCAACAAAUACCUCCAUCUUUUCUUUUUGGUUGUUAAAAAAUUGAAAAUGUCUCUGUUCUUUAGGGUUUCUUCUAAUAUGAGAGGGUUUUGUUUUUUGGUUGUUAAAAAACUGAAAAAUGUCUCUGUUCUUUAGGGUUUUUUCUAAUAUGAUGUAUGUGUCUCUACUUUCUUUCGCAUAAGCAUUUGAUUUGGUCACAACUUUCGUUAAUUUAUUUUCAGCUUAUAUUUUAUGGUUUCCAUAAAUGUUAAUUUGUUCUCUAUUUUUAUCAUAGUUAAUCUACUGAAGAUGGUUCAUAUUAGAUGGUUCAUAUUGGUAUGUUAUUAUAGUUCAUGACGCUACGAUAGCUCAUGUCAAUUUGGGUUUAUUUCAGGGCACUGAUAUACACUGCAGAGUAUCAACUGCACUUAAACCAGCAUCAAAAAAUUGUUUUAUCAACUUAUAACUUCAAUGCCAGAAUAUCAUUGAUGUUUUAUCAAGUAAGUUAAUUUCUGCUGUUCUUUUAGCUUUAUGAGAGCUCGAAAUGAUGGCAAAAGAUUUUAAUCGGGCCAUAUGUGAUGUUUAUUAAUUUGUUUACUUUUAAAAACCUUAUCAGUAUUCCGGUUGUUGUUCUAUUGGCUCUCUGUGGCAGAGUUUCAGGUACUUGAAAUCGGUAAAUAGGUUUAAUGAACUCGUGGCGUCAGUGUACGUCACAGCUGGUCAUAUCCUUUAUCGUAGAGAACUAAUUUACAUCAGAAAUAAAUAUUAUAUGAUUUUCAAUUUUUUGUAUCUGAAUACCAACUUUAAGAAUCAUUUAAUUUAAUUUUCUUUAAUGGGAUGAUUAUGCCACUGUCCCCUGACCCUUACAUCCCUUUCCUUCGCGUGAAUGGGAAAAAAAUAAAAGGGCCAUGAGUGGGCAAUGAUCAAACCUUAAAUCCACAUACUUCUUUAUGAAUUUUAGUUUUUUUGUGAUAAUUUCCUUGGCCUGUCAAACAUUCCCGGUUAAUGUUGCUUCAUGAUUCGCGUAAUGACGAUGGCAUUAAGAGCUUUUUCCAAGAGGUGCACGGGCUUUACAUAAAGGUUUCAAAUUAACAUUUUGUUAUUGAUGAUGAUUUUGGCCGUGAAGAUCAUAAACAUGUCUGCUUACUGUAAUGAAGGCAGAACAGGAGCGCCGUGCUGCAAUUAUCCGUGCUGAAGGAGAAAGUGAUGCUGCCAAGCUGAUUUCUGAUGCUACUGCGUCUGCUGGUAUGGGGUUGAUUGAGCUUAGGAGGAUCGAGGCUUCCAGGGAAGUGGCCUCUACUUUGGCUAAGUCUUCUAAUGUCUCUUACCUUCCUGGUGGAAAGAACAUUCUCAUGGCUCCCAAUCCUUCACGUUAAAGGCUCAACGAUAUGGUGUCAUAACAUGCUUGGAUUGGAUCAUUGUCACGAGGCUCUCCUUUGUUAAACGUCUAUUUUUUUCUACUUUGUAGAUACUAUCUCAUCUGAGCUUUGUUUCAUAAUGUUUUCGAAAAGAGAAGUUAGAAGGAUUUGGAUCUUAAUGUUUGAUAAUUGCAGAAUAACUAAAUGCAAAUCAUAGAAGGUUUGAGGUUGUUGUAGCUUGAACAUGCACUAAAACUUUGUUGGUUCCUUCUCCUUUUCCACUCCAUGCCUGGGUAUCACAACACAUGUAGAAUACAUGUAACCUUUUUCUUAAAUUUUGUCAAAGGAUAGAACCAAUCAGUGUUUCGGUAUUGCUUUACAUAUGAUGGGUGAUUCAACAAAUGUACAAUCACCUGGAAGGACAAUGAGCGAGUCUGUCGUAGCUGAUGCAUUAUUGAGGCUUAUUUCAGCUGCCAAAGGAAGGGUUAUAACAACCCAGUUUUCAUCUACUGAGAUGCAGCUGCCAAAGUUGGUGUUUGCUGGCAUGUUUUUAAUGACAUGUUUGGAUGUAGCUUCAAAGAAUGGAAAGUCUCCAAUUGAUCUAUCCACUUUGGUAAUAAACAUGUGUAUAUAUUUUUUUGUCAUCCUGCUUUCUCAAAUAAUGUUAAAAACUGAGAGUUUGGAAAAUGGGACCGGGAGGUUGAAGAAGACUUAAUAGAUUAGAAGUCUUAAUAUCAGUGACUGAUUUGUUUAUAAUUAGGAAACAAAUUAGUAUGUUUAGAACUGUCUAGAAAGUAGUUACAACAAACUCUAUCCUAUGGAACAAACAUUAAAUGCUUAUGUCUAGAGCGAUAUUUGUAGGCUGUCAUAGUUUUCCAAAUAAGCAUCUGAAUUACGCUGCUGAUUUGGUGUGCUAUGUUAUGUAGCUUUAUGAGUUUGUUGUUUAGUUUAUCAUACAAAUAUUACCCUAUUUAUUGGGGGUGGUUUAGUCAAACACUUCAAUCUCCCGAAAAAAAGUGAUAAUUGUUACUCAAAUUAUGCUAUUUUUCUUUGUUUGUGUUUGCAAAUUAUGUUGAUAUUUUGUCUGAAUCAAAUUUUUAUCAAUAUUAUUUUUAUAUACGGGAAAAAAUGUACUAUUGAUUCAAAUAUUUAUUUUGUUCUUAUUAAUGUAUUUUUUAUAAACAACAAUUACUAUUUUUAGAAACAAUGCGCGUGUCCGACCAGAACCCGUGCGUAUGCACGAGUUUGUUACUAGUUAUAAGUAAAAUAAGUGGUUAAUGAUGUACUUUUUUGUGGUUAAUAUAAUUGUGAAGUUGGUUAAUGACAUAUCCUUAUAUUUGUGUUAUCUACUUACUAUAAAUCUAAAGAAGUCAUGAUGGCAACCCUAGUCACAUAUCAUCUUUAAAACAAUCCAAACCACAAUCUUACCCACAUGUCAUCUUUACAAUAAUCCAAGCCACGUGUCAUCUUGGUAACAAAACCUUAAUUAUACAAACCUAAUAAUAAUAAUAAUAAUAAUAAUAAUAAUAAUAAUAAUAAUAAUAAUAGUAAUAAUAAUAAUAUUAAAUUUUUUAAUUUUAAUACUACUCUUUUUUCUAAUUCUCCACACCAACUCCAAUU